GGGGGCGAAUGGCUUCGACCGGAUGGCGGAGAGGCAAGUUGCAUGUCCAGGACGCCGGUUGGCCUGGCUAAUCAUCCGGCAACAAAUUUAACUGGCGAUUACCAGUUACGCAUGGCUGCUUAAUUUGCAGCCCGUCCUGCUUGACCGCGCCUGUGGGUCGGGUAAGGGCGUCAGAUAGCAGGCUGGCCAAGCCGGUUUUUCGGGCCGGCAAGGUAAGAUUAAUUCCGAAAUAGCUGAACCGAGAGCCUGUCGUUUGGCGCUUGGCAAGGCGAAAUGACAAUAAAGCGACUAAGCAUGUAGAAGCUUGUCUUGAAGGAUCUCGGGACGGGGGUUCGAAUCCCCCCGCCUCCAGUC
Molecule: transfer-messenger RNA, 354 nt
Filed under: Sedimentisphaerales
Lineage: Bacteria; Pseudomonadati; Planctomycetota; Phycisphaerae
Description: g NIOZ-UU13 X1 Standard tmRNA
Rfam family: transfer-messenger RNA
About the family: Bacterial tmRNA, also known as 10Sa RNA or SsrA, is named for its dual tRNA and mRNA-like properties. Its role is to liberate the mRNA from a stalled ribosome. To accomplish this part of the tmRNA is used as a reading frame that ends in a translation stop signal.
Source: RNAcentral